GUGGGGAAUAUUGCGCAAUGGGCGAAAGCCUGACGCAGCGACGCCUCGUGAGGGAUGAAGGUCUUCGGAUCGUAAACCUCUGUCAAGAGGGAAGAAACCCUUGAGUUCGAACAGGGCUCUUGGCUGACGGUACCUCUAAAGGAAGCACCGGCUAACUCCGUGCCAGCAGCCGCGGUAAUACGGAGGGUGCAAGCGUUAAUCGGAAUCACUGGGCGUAAAGCGCUCGUAGGCGGUUUGGUCAGUCAGAUGUGAAAGCCCUCGGCUUAACCGGGGAACUGCAUUUGAUACUGCCAGACUUGAGUGUCGGAGAGGGUGGCGGAAUUCCGGGUGUAGGAGUGAAAUCCGUAGAUAUCCGGAGGAACACCAGUGGCGAAGGCGGCCACCUGGACGACAACUGACGCUGAGGAGCGAAAGCGUGGGGAGCAAACAGGAUUAGAAACCCUAGUAGUCC
This 451-nucleotide ribosomal RNA is filed under the name uncultured bacterium. Its description in RNAcentral is "bacterial SSU rRNA". It matches the Rfam family "Bacterial small subunit ribosomal RNA", at positions 354 to 796 of the family's 1533-position model. The record is from RNAcentral.